Molecule: long non-coding RNA, 1425 nt
Filed under: Homo sapiens (human)
Lineage: Eukaryota; Metazoa; Chordata; Mammalia; Primates; Hominidae
Description: HSALNT0349643
Source: RNAcentral
AGCCAAUGAAAUGUAAGCAGAAGUGACAUAUGCAGCAUGACCAGUGGAAGCUUCGAAGAGCUAUUGCCAAUUUCCACCCUCUCUCUGGAAACUGUCAUUAGGGUUAGGGAAACUGUCAUGAGAUCUGCAUAUUUUAGAUAGAGGCUGCUUGCCUUAUUUGGGCACCUAAUGAAAAAGACAUGGAGGCCAGGUGCGGUGGCUCAUGUCUGUAAUCCCAGCACUUUGGGAGGCCAAGGCGAGUGGAUCACCUGAGGUCAGGAGUUCGAGACCAGCCUGACCAACAUGGCAAAACCCCGUCUGUACUAAAAGUGCAAACACAAAGGGAACUGCGUGGCUUGUUUCUACCUGAACAUUGUCAAGUGAUUUCAUCCUUUGAAACACAGUUGUGAAGUGUGUCCAGCAGUCUGAGAACAAGAAGAAGAAGAAAAUCUAAUCCUUCAGGGUGUCUGUGUGCCAGCCCUGCUCUCAGCACUUCCCAUGUGGAACUCCUUUACUUCUCCUAACAACUCCAUGACAUGGGUUAGACUGUGAUUGUUCCCAUAUUGUUGGUAGGGAAACUGAGGCAUGCAGGUGUUACAGAGCUCUCUCAAGUGGCAAGCUUUCUGGGUGGUUACAGAGUGGCAGAGCUGGGGUAUCCCAUGAUGUCACCACACUGCUAUAUGGAAAAGAACAUUAAUCGAGCACCUACGUGCUUGAUUCUCUUAAUUCUGUGACUGAACUCUCAAAACACCCUGGGUUGGUUUCCUUUUUACAACUGCCCAAGUCAUGAGUUCAUAGGGCCUGGAUGGCUGUACCGGAUUGCUCUCCAGCUGGUCUCUCUGCAUCCAGAAAUUUCUACAACCUACUGGGAGCACUGCGUGUUUUGAAAUAUACAAAUAGUGGGAAACGAAAUCUUUGUUCUGGAUGCAGUUAUAAUUUGGAAAGCGAGGAAAUAAAUUAUAACAAGGGGAAAAAACAGACACAGAGGGAUUGAAAUGCAUAACAAUAGAGAUGAAACACGAAGAGUGAUAAAUGAAGAUUGAGUGUGCACACCUUCUGGAGGAGCCCUGAUUGAGUAUUUUAAAAUACUACUAAAGUCAUGCCGUGUGACUUCUGAAGCUAGCUCCUAAGAAGUCCUUGCAGCUUCUGCCUGCGACUCUUAGAACACUUGCUUUGAAGGAUGCCAGAUGCUGUCUUAAAAGUCUGAGCACUCUGAAACCAUCAUGCUGUGAGGAAGCCCAAGCUAACCACAUGGGCAAAAAAGAUGCCCUCUGACUGCCACCAUUUGAGACACUCUAAUUAAGAACUGCCUCAUUGAGCCCAUGAGGCCCUGUGAAUGAUAAUAAUAAAUUGUUUUUAACCACUAUGUUUUUGGAUUUGUUAUAAGUUUAUAGAUAACAAGAAAAAGUUAUAUUAGCAUGGUAAUAAAAUUAUGGAUAUGUGUAA